Molecule: long non-coding RNA, 9490 nt
Organism: Myotis brandtii (Brandt's bat)
Lineage: Eukaryota; Metazoa; Chordata; Mammalia; Chiroptera; Vespertilionidae
Exons: 2
Source: RefSeq, a predicted model, not a curated record
AACUGUUUAUAUCAUCUCAGCUGAGUCAAUACAUUAUAAUGUAUUAAAAUGGAAAGGUACAAAAUUGAAAUAAAUACUUUCUGAUUCAUGUAUAAAUCUUUUUUUUUUGUCAAGAUGACUUUUAUCGUCAGUACAUGUCACAAGAAAACAUUUAAAAUGACACUGAAACAAUCAUUUAAAUCAUGGUGCAUGGAGGAAAAAGGUAAAGAAAAUAACUUUUGGCUUGUUUUGGCAUGAGACCUUGAUACGAUUUGGGUUCCCCAAAACCACGUGAAGGGUGGUAAAAUAGAAAUGCUCAAAACUGACUUAAAAAAAUAAACAGGCUUUACAAAAACCCUCUUUGUGAUUAACCCAGCCACUUCUCUACAUGGUCUGCGCUUACAGUAGAUACAUUCAUUAUUGUCCAUGGGAAGACAGCAACUGCCUUUCGUUUUAAAGAGCUUGGUGGAGAGGCUGAAGAAAUACGCUGCAGCUGAAGGUGGGGAGAAUGCUCAGGAGAACAAAAAGUCUAGAUGGUCCUCAGGAAUGGCACCGAGAGUGAGGGGGUGCGGAGGGUCUCUGGAACAAGAGGUGGAAGGGAGGGAGCGUGAGGAGUCCAGAUCUGAAGCAAAGCAAGUCUGAAGGUCGUCAGGAGUGACAGUGUGGGGUGGGGAUCUCUCCAUCCGAGCAGUUCUGGGUUUACCCUCAACCUGGGAACAUUUCUGGUUCAGCAAGAGGGGCUGGGACUCUCCUCAGGCACAAUAGCAGGGGGAAGACGGGACAGGUAUAGCGCUUCACAAUGAAUGCCACCAAAGGGGCUUUCUCUUCGGGUUCUGACUGCUUAUUAGGUGGUUGUUAAGGCAAUAAGGACUUGAGCAAACUAGAAGUUAAGGGCAGCUAAAUUCAGCCAGAUUGAAGGUAAACAAAAGGUGAGAAGAAGUCCCUUUCUCCUCAGCUACCUUUCCCCCCAAGCACAGGAGGCCCCGGAAUUUACAGUACACGAGUAGCAGAGGGCGUGCCCUUUGAAAGGCUCCAUGGAAAAGAAGGCUCUUCCCUGACUUGGGGCAACUUGACUGAAGUUUCUACUCUCCAGACUCUCUUUCCCAAGGUCCUCUCAGGAGGGCAGGCUGUGGGCACCCAGCUGUUGAGUCAAAAGUGGCAGCACCUAGGUUUGUGCAGAGUUGGGGCAAGUCCUUUGCUAUAGACUAUCUGGCCCAUCUCAAAAACCUUGAACACCACGCAUCCUGGAAAGCCAGGCCUGAUGCUCACAGGUCCCAGUGAGACUUGUGUUCGGCUGGAGGCAGGACUAGCCAGGGCUCAGUAAUGUUCCCCCCACAUCAGAUAAAAUGACAGCUGCAAAGCCCAUGAGAAUGUGAGGUCCUUGCAAGGCUUGUGAGCCCCUGAGUGGGCCCUUAAAGGAAUGAAAGAAGCUCCUUUGACUUAACUCAACUCACAGGAAAUACAAAAGACUGAACAAAAUAGAUGGAAGACACGUUUCCCUUCUCCUUGUACUGGAGUGAAGGAGACGGGCCUCAGGAUGCUAUGGGAAGGAUAAACCUUGAGAGUGGCCUGCCAUUCUGAGUAGACUUCUGGCAGGAUCCUGGGUGCUAUGCCUGCCGAGGCCCUAGAAUUGAAGAACUGGCUCUGAGGCCAUUGCUAAAAGGUACAACUACUUACUCCAGCAAAUGACCCACAUGUGAGCUCAAUGAAUAAGAUAGACAUCCCUUUCAUCCUGUGGUCUAGAUAGCAGUCUAAUGCAAGAACUCUCCAUGAGAUGCCUGGGGCUAAGGAUGCAAUGGCUGUGCUCUAGUUACUCAAGACCACCUCAAAAAGGGGCAGUCAUGGGGCCAAUAUGUGAUGAAGCAGAAAUGCCAGUUGUAAUGGCCAGCUGUCUGGGGACCAGUGCCCUGCCUGACCUUUCUCUGAUUGAACCUGUCUUGCUUUGGUCCUAAGAAAAGUGAGCAACAUUCCAUCCAGGAAUCCAAGGGUUACAAUACGAGAUCCAUAAUGAAGCAAAUACGAUCAUCAAGCUGUGGGCAUAUAGAUGAAACAAGACAGGCCAUGAGCUGAAGUCGAUUAGUAGGUCUACGGGACUUCAUUGUACAAGUCUACUUUAAUAUGUGUUCAAAUAUCUGCUUUGAAAUCAUCCACAGUACAAAACAAGGUUCCUUGGACAUUAUGUAGCUUCAUCCCUCAUUUGACAGACAGACCCCCAUGGCAAAGUGCCCAAAGUCACACAGGGAGUUACUGCAGAGCCAGUACUGGAACACAGAACUCUCUCUGCAGGGAUUAGGAUAUUUUGUUGGAUUUUUACAUUCUUAAAUCAAUGUCAAGUUCUUCAGCUCUGCUCUUCCCGUUGGGCAAGCAGGAUUUUUUAAAACCCUGCCAAUGAGCCUCAAAAAAAUAUAACAGCAACAGUACCCAUAAAGCCACAAGGGGGCGCUUUCCCCCCAGUGCUCUCUUCAGUCCCAACAUUUCAAAGGGAGACCGCCAACCCCAACCCCUAAGGUUUAACUUUAAUGGAAUAAAGCAGUCACUGUAACCGCUUCUUCAGGGUAACCAUCACCAGGAAGAGCAUUUAGUUUCCUUUCUGGGCCCCUGGUUGUGUUCCCUUUUCUCUGGAGCCUGAUUGAGGGCCUAGUGCAGGAGGAGCGCGUCCAAUUUAUGACAAGCGUAGGGGUGAUAAGGGCCAGAAUCACAGCCACUUCAGGACCUAAAGCCCUUUAAAAAUCUUUAACUCUGGUUACUUGAUCUUUUUAGAGAAAGAGCACUGUAAUAUCACUGGAAUCAAAGACUUUUCUCUAUUUAAUAAGAAAAAGACAUUUAAGUACUGGAGGCUGAGGGGAAAGGGAGGCAGGACUCGCUGGGUCCUUCUCAGUGAUGACACUAAUAGGGAAUCAAGGGGCCUCGCUAGCAAGGAGUUUUUCCAAAGAAAAACAGACCAGAUAAGCCAGGUGCUUCUAAGUUCCUGUGAGGGGAAGGUGAGGUCAGGAGGCUUGCGCUGAAUUUAGAAGAAUGACACCCAAGGAAGUUCCCGGAGCCACCAUUUAGUAUGAGGAAAACACACCUCGGGCUCUGGUGACUCAGUUGAGAUGAAAGUUAGCAGAGAGAGAUGCAUAUUUUUUUUAAAAAAAAGGAGACGGAGGAAUUUAUGGUAAAAUUAUGAAGACGUGCUUUGACUAAAAAGUUUUGGACUUUAUGAAAUAGACCAUUAAAAGGAGCUGUGGAAUAUUCUUCUGGAGAGAUCAGGUGCCUUGGGAAUGGAAGACACCCAAGAAACUUGGAAAGGCAGAAGGAGAGAUGGGGUGGCUGGGUGGAUGGACAGAGCACUCCAAUUAUUUAGAAAAACCUAUGCUAGCAAGAGAGUUAGUAAGAGCAGGCUAUAGAUGUCAAUUUUGCUGCUUCUUAUCCUAAUUGUUCCUCCAUGUUCUUCAAAAAUACAGGUAAAUAAGACAUCAGCUCAGUUUUUAUUCAAAAUCCGAACCCUCGUAACUUGGCUUACAGAGAGCUGAGCUGGAGUGGGGGCAGUAUAUAUGUUGUGUCCACAGUGAGAAAGCAAACGCUUCUCUUUCCCACGGACUCCUAUAAAACAUGAGGUUCACCAUGUCUGAAUUUCACGAAUUAGAAGAGGGACUCUGCACUAGUGGGCCUAAGGAGAGGGAUAGAAGAGCACUGUGAUGCAGGAUCGGAUUCUGGCUCUGCUCAUUUCUAACCGUGCUUCUUCAGGAAAAUUGCUUCAUCUCUCUCUGGGCUUUGGGUUCCUCAUCUGUAAAGGGAGGAGACUGGUCCACAAGAGCCUUAAGAUCCUCUCUGACAUUCAGAAUCUGUGGUUCUAGAGACGUGAGUAUCAGUCUGGACUAGACACAAGGUAGGGGCUGAAUUCUAGGAUCAUAGUGUCUACUAGCCUUGCAUCCAAAAAGAAUAAAUCUUGCUUCUGGAGAGAGUGAGUAAAUUUUCUAAUGGGUCUCUUGGGAGUCCUGACUAAUGUCACUGGGAAGGGGUGGGGAAGAGGCUCACGUCAAAUAAGGUCACGUUCAUGCUGCUUCAUCUGGUAAAUUCUGGCCUUGGAAGAGCCAGGCAGGAGUGGAGCAGUACCUGCCAUGUCUCUGGAGUCCUGCCCCUUUACAGUCAACCUUGACUCUGAGGAAAAGUAACAAGUGCCAUCAAACCUAAUGAAAAUUUCAAUAUAUUUUGAAAGAUGUCCACUAGCAAUGGUCAGUAGUGAGAUCAAUGCUAUGGUCACAUACAUCCCAGGAUGAAGGGCCCAUGACAAGAUGCUUGUGAAGCAUUUGAGCUCUGAGGUCUUCCCUCUUAAGAGUGAGAAAGGCAGUACGUGUUCCACCUUGUUGGCUGUCAGGAUUGACCUCUCACUGCAGAACCAAGGAGCCUGAAGACCUUGAAGGACUGCUCUGUCUCCAGAUUUGAGGAGGAAGCAAAGACCUAUUUGGAGACAGGUGCACUGUUUCUGCCAAAAGACCAGUGUCUGCAACACCACGAAUACUGAGAAUACAGGUGCUUCUGAUAUGAACUGUGUAUGUUGCUUUGAAGCAAGGUGGGGUGCACCUAUCAGAGGUUUUGUUGGGAAAAUGUAAAAUAGACAAUUUCAUGUGUCUAAGGCCCAUGGAUUCUGACUCCAGGGGAGAGAAGCUCAAUUCCACUCACCAGAAAUAUUGUCUACCAACCCCACCUCCUUCCCAGCUGUGCAGAAGCUACCUAGCCGAAGAGACAACUUUGGAUGCUAGGGCACUCUCACACCAGAAUAGCUGGUGCCUUUUCAACUAUGUCUUUCUCCUGAGCAGGCCCAGAUGUCCUGCGGAGGAAUGAGGAUGCUUCCAGCAUGGUCUGCAAACACACAGCAAUGAACCUCUUAGGUAGUUAAAGACCCACUCUUGCUCUAAGUGCAUUGAAGACUCAAGAAAGCAUAGUUGCCCUCCCCCUGCAAAAAUGUUUUCACUUCCUCAUCUUACAUAUGGUGAAACUGGGGCACAAGGAAGGACAAAUAAUUUUUCUGCAGCUCUCAUAUUGACCUAGUGACACACCUGGGAGGAAAACUCAGGAUCUCUCUCUCUCUCUCUCUCUCUCUCUCUCCUUCAAUAUCUUCCAUUACCUUUCUGCUUAAUUCACAUUUAAAGUCUGUCUGCUUGCCUAUCUAUCUAUACUAUAUUAUAUGUACUAUUAUGUAUAAAAUAUAAAUAAUUCUUAGAUUUCUGCUUAACUUCCUGUCCUUUCUCCUCCUUUGUAUAACUAGGUUUUUUGGGGAGGAUGGGGGGGAAAGUUCCGUGGGAAGGGAAAACCACAGUACUGCUCAAAGGAAUAGACCUCUGGAAGGAGAGAUGACAGCCUUUGUCUAUGGGGCAGGUGGAGGUGGGGGGGCUUCAGAUCUGGACUGUACAGCAAAUUAAAUGGAACACAACUCAACGGAAAUUGGCAAUGGAGACAUCUGUGCCAGACGAAGUGAACUUCCACAACCUGGUUUUAAGGAACAGUCAAUACAAUAGAGAUAGAUAGAUACACUAUGUUGAAUCUUGAGUAAUAAAACAAGUUAUCAAUAGAGUUAUGCUAACAUAAAGACGGACAUCAUAGGGAAUAGUCUGGUCAACAACCAAUCACCAUUAGAAUCAAAAAGUAAACCGGCCUUUUCACUGAGUACCUCCACGACGUUUCUCAAUGCACUAAGCACAUUUUAACCAUGCAAAAAUACACAAACAUCUUAACUAGGUUGUUUUUGUUUUGUUUUUUUGUAAAAAAAAUCAAACACCAACAUUAUGCAUUUUUGUUAAUUAUAUUGGUUAAAGUAACAGCCAGUGGCUGCCAAAUAUCAGAUACAUCAUAUACAUAUUUUUAUACAGAAUCCGGACAACACAACAUUACACAUCAGAGAGAGAAAGAGAGAAAAAGAGAAAGAUAUUAUUUGUUCCUUUGUGGGUUUGUUGUUGUUGUUCAGUAAAAAAAAAAUAUGAGAAGCAAUGCUAAGAAGGAAAACACUUCAACAAGUUAGGAAUACAUAGGGAGGAUUGCUAACCAGAAAUACAGGAGGAAAAGAGUUCAUAGUUAGGUCUGUGUCUAGAAUUUUCUUCACUAAGAAACAAAAGAGCACAACAGGUGUAUUGGUUUGGAAAAGCAGAAAGAGCGAUAACAUCAUGCUGUCUGGGUCCAGCACGUUUCCAGCAAGAAGAAAAAAAAAUCAUAAUCACAAAUUAAUUUCACAAGUUUUGUUUUCAAAAAUGUCCUCCCUUACCCAGGAAGCUGGGUAGUGCACGGGUGGGGACAGCUCAGUUUAGACAGUCCUUGGCAAAGGUUUGGCCAAAACCGUUGGCCUCAAAUUAGUUGGAGAUAUGAGCUGUUUGUGGGAAUUCGCGCAAUGAAAUGUGACGUCGGCUUGCUCCAGUCUAGGCAAGUUUUCCCGUUGCCAGCCAGUGGUCUGGUGGAGGAAGGACACAACCCCGUGACAGGCUCUGCUAGCCAGGCCCCAGUCCUGCCCCUUAAACAUUUGGCAUCAACACAAUCCUAAGAAUUCAACCUGGAAAGAAACAAGACCUUGAACACAAGCUAUGGAAGCACUACCAUGGUCACGGCUAGAUACAAAAAUGUGAAAAUUCAGAUGUAAUCAAAAAUACAAAAUCAGUUUCAAUAAGGUUUGCUUUUUUUUUUUUGUUAACCAUUACAGUGCAAGGUUUUUCAAAUUACAGUAGAAGUUAUGUGUCUGCUUACAGUAACUAGAAUAAGUAGCUGAUUUUGUUCUGCUCGAGUCAGAGGUCCCUGAUAAGUGAGAAUGCACCAAUCUGAAAUCAACCCAGCACAAGAAAUGGAUAUGCAAACACAAACACAGUUCACUACGGUCUUUAAACCUUCAAACAGCAACAAAAGAAUGGUGCCAUUUGGACAACUCAUUAGCACGAGGUCCUUCCUCCAUUAAAAAUUAAUAAUAAAUACAUGGUAUUAAAAUUCCAACAAGAAAAGGACUGGAAAUCUGGGGCUGAAGGGUGGAGUAUCUGAAGGGAGUCUUCCCAUCUCACUGAGCUUUCGCAUUGUUCUUAAAAACAAAGAGCAGUGUGUCAGCGUGAGCCCCUUUGGGCAAUGCUGCUUUGUGCUUUGGCUCCCCAUCCCAGGAAACCAGGAUGAAGCUCACGGCCCAUUGUGCCAUCUAGAUCACCCCCAGGAGGGGAAAAUGGAACUAUUAAACCAGAACUGGGGGCCCAAAGCGGGCAAGGACUGGGGAGCCUACAUCUGGCAAAAGGAUGGCCCUUGUCAAGGCCAUUGUGCCUCUCAGAGCCUCGGAUUCUGCCAAGGAUGGCGAGAACAGAGUCAGGAACCCCAGAUUACAUCUGAGAAAAAGCGCCAUCAUUCCUUCAGAGCCAUUGGUUUGGGAGUGGGCAAGAGGCUGAAAGAGAGCAAUGUGGCUAAAUGAAGUGACCAGGUAACAGUCUUCCUAACCAUGCUGUGGGACAUGAAGAGAAAGCAAGGGUGAACAAGGAUUCAUCCUCUUUUGAGAUUCGUAAAGCCAACCAGUCUGGGAUGGGUUAGGAGGUGGGCAAGACCCACUGGAGAGCCUCAGGAGUCCUCUCUGUGUUCAGGGGAAGGAGUGGAGCAUGGGGGUUGGCCACCUUGACAUCAAGCCAGAAUGCUGUGGAGGCCACACUGAGCUCCUAUUCUUCACACAGCCCCUCUCUAGCCCCUUCCUGGUGCCCAAACCCACAAAAACCACUCUGACCCAUUUGACUGCCCCCUUAUUUAGUCCCUCUGAGUGCCUCCUAACGGUGGGGGCAAACUCUUCCCAGGUUUGCUUACAUUGAAAAGGGACUAUUUAGACAGCCAGGGGUUGUUAUCUAGGGCCUGGGAUCCGCCAGGGCUGCAUAAGUGUGGGUAGCACCCUCUCCCAUUCCUCUGGGAUGUGGCCAGGUGGUUGGAUCCACCUGCCUCACACAAAGGACCUGCAUAGGUGAACAAACCCUUUACUCACACCUACACCCUGAGAAAGGGAAGAAACAAAUUCCUUUGCCAUGUUGGAAAGCUUUCCUGCCUUUGAAAUAGAGUGAGGUGCUAUGAGCCCAGUUGGCGCUAAAUUAUUUGGUUAUAAUCUGGCCAUUGGAGGAAAUAUGGGCUUCCUCUAUUACAAUACACUUAAACUGCUGGACAGCAACAACAAAAAAGAGGUUAGACUAGGAAGCAAAAAAAAAUUACCUUCAAGAUCUAUAUUUUGAGUAUGCUUAUUAGGAUGGUGAGAAAUUGGCUUCAUGCUUUCUUUGAAAGCAAGAACAAACUAUAGUUGAAUUAACUUAGGAGAUGUUCAUCUUUGAUUUAAAGAAGAUCUCCCUGGGUUCUUACGCUCAUAAAAUUAAGAUGGGUUCAAAGGCGAGGAGAUAACUUUUUUUCUCUUAGUGGUUCAAAGUUCACAGUCCGGAGGCAACUCAGAGCUCCAUAGAUGUUAUGUUGGAUGACUAGAUGUACUGAUGACAGACAUUUAGGAUGGGAAGGGACUUUGGGGAAUGUCAUCUUCAGGUUGCAGAAAAGUUAACUGUGCUUGAGCUGGUGUAUGGGUUGGUGAUGGAUCCAGUGCUCCUGCUGCUGCACCUGGAUUUCAGAGGGUCGUGACCUGGCUCGGAGGGGAGCAGGUGUGGAGGCCAGUUCUCCAUGGUCCUGUGAUGCAACAGCAUAGCUUCCAUGCUGUCACUCAGCCAUGCCUAGAGAAAAGUGCUAGAUAAACCACUGGUGAACUUUUAGUGGUCCAGUUUGUUGAACUGAACUAGGAGAUUAAGGAAUCAGUAAUAUUUCUUAAAGAUUAAAACCCCACUAAUUCUCAUCACUGUGAAACAGUGAGGAUUUAAAACUACCACCUAUUGACAUAAUCUGUAGCCAUAAAACUUACUUGGAAAUUAGCAUGUAGUGUUUUGGAAAAGUGAUGAAUACAAUAGAUGUGAUAUGUCUUAACUUCAGAAACUCUUUUGAUAACUCACCUCAAGACAUAUCUCAACAUUCACCAUGAGAAUUUUUCUUAGGGGGAAUUAAAAUUUCAUUGUUGGCCUACAGAGGCCUUAUAGCAGUGUUCUUCAGGGAUUGGUGCAGGAAUUCUCAUUUUAUAGGGAAUCUUUGGAGGUUUUUUGACUGAUACAAGGCUGUGUUUACCCCAUGUCAUACUAUUGUGCCCCAUUUCUCUCUUGGCUGCUCCUAAGAGAAUGUCCUUAUCUUUUAUUCUCUGUAACCAAUGUAUAUGUUCAUAGCUUAUUGCUUAACCUGUAACUCUGUAAGUCUAUAAACUCAGGAUGGAGGCAUGUGUUCUGUGGACAUAAAGAAAUGAUGGUUAAAAACAAUAGCUAAGAUGCUGGGCUUCAGGACUUUCAUGUCUCCAGGAGGCAAGACAGUAAAGGGGUCUGCUAUGUUUGUGUCCCCCCAAAUUCAUAUGUUGAAGCCCAAAUCCCCAAUGUGGUGGUAUUUAGAGGUGGGGUCCUUGAGAGAUAAUUGGGCUUAGAUAAGGUCACGAGGGUGUAGUCCCCAUAAUGGGAUUAGUUCCCUU